RNAcentral lists this ribosomal RNA (447 nucleotides) under uncultured bacterium. RNAcentral describes it as "bacterial SSU rRNA". It matches the Rfam family "Bacterial small subunit ribosomal RNA", at positions 329 to 793 of the family's 1533-position model. The record is from RNAcentral.
GGCCAGACUCCUACGGGAGGCAGCAGUGGGGAAUAUUGCACAAUGGGGGAAACCCUGAUGCAGCGACGCCGCGUGAAGGAAGAAGUAUUUCGGUAUGUAAACUUCUAUCAGCAGGGAAGAAAAUGACGGUACCUGACUAAGAAGCCCCGGCUAACUACGUGCCAGCAGCCGCGGUAAUACGUAGGGGGCAAGCGUUAUCCGGAUUUACUGGGUGUAAAGGGAGCGUAGGCGGUUUAGCAAGUCAGAAGUGAAAGCCCGGGGCUCAACCCCGGGACUGCAUUUGGAACUGUAAGGCUAGAGUGUCGGAGAGGCAGGCGGAAUUCCUAGUGUAGCGGUGAAAUGCGUAGAUAUUAGGAGGAACACCAGUGGCGAAGGCGGCCUGCUGGACGAUGACUGACGUUGAGGCUCGAAAGCGUGGGGAGCAAACAGGAUUAGAUACCCCAGUAC